UCAAAAUCUCCCUCUUCUUCUUCUUCCUUUUAUACAAUCCGCCCCUCCCCAUUUUCGUAUAAACCCUAGCCGCCGCGCCCUUCAAGCCGCUCAACGCCGUCUCCCGACCGACCUCCUCUGCGCACCUCGCCUAACGGUGUCGUCCGCGAGCAUCGGCGACCCAAACUGUGCGAUCUCUCCCUUCUUAGUCGCGUUUCCACGCCUCUCCUCGCCGCUGACUCUUCGCACUGGAGUUUCGUACGCCUCCGCUCACGCUGCGUCGGUCGUCGUCAACUCUCAGCCGUCCGCGGGUGCCAGAUCUAAGGUCGUGCGCGUCCUCCGUCGUUCGUGGGUUCGGUGCCAUUGCUGAUCCGUCCAGUCGUCCAAUGCCGCUUCUUCGUCCGGUGCCGCCCAGCUCCUACCGUCGUCGCGGUUGCUGUCACAUCUCUUUUGAAAGCGAGAUUCAGAGGAUUUUGGGGUCGUUGGGAGAUUGAUUUUUCGUCAGGAAUUGUUAAGUUUGGGUAAGAGUAGGGAUGCACCGGCGAAUAACAAGCGGAAUCCGUGAUCGAGCAACUGGGACUAGUUUUUAUGCUUUCGCUCAUAGGACUUAGAUUUCCUUCAUGUUUUUGCUAAAUUUUCAGUUUGAUGUUUGAAACUUAUUAUUGAGAAUUGUUUUUCAUACUUAUUUAUUAACCUUUAUGAUUUAUGGGUACCCUUUCAUUGUUUUAAUAUUUGCAUUUAAUAGAGGACUUUUGGACUCCCCUUAUCUAUUUAGCAUUUAUUUCA
This is a long non-coding RNA of Benincasa hispida (wax gourd), 765 nucleotides long. RefSeq lists it as uncharacterized. Lineage: Eukaryota; Viridiplantae; Streptophyta; Magnoliopsida; Cucurbitales; Cucurbitaceae. The record is from RefSeq and is a predicted model, not a curated record.